Molecule: non-coding RNA, 124 nt
Organism: Triticum aestivum (bread wheat)
Lineage: Eukaryota; Viridiplantae; Streptophyta; Magnoliopsida; Poales; Poaceae
Source: Rfam
UAGGUACUCCCUCCGUCCCAAAAUAUUUGUUCUCAAAAUGGAUAAAUUGGAUCUAUCUAUAACUAAAAUAAGUCUAGAUACAUCCAUUUCUAGGACAAGUAUUUCCGGACGGAGGGAGUAUUAA